AACGCAAUUUGCACCUCGCGGCUCUUGUCACGAGGUAUACUUGUUUGAGUAUCCGUAACCAUCUCACCUCGCUCUCGGGCAGAAGUGAAGCUGAGAUUCGAUAAGCACCAGCGAGUCGUCUCUUGAAAAAUAUGGCUCGUCUGUGGGAGGUCUCCGUCGAGACCUGACCGACCAUUUGGAUAACGUCCUACAAUUGUCGUGUCAGUGUCCUAGUUGGCGUUGAUUAACCUUGGCCACCCCGAUCCAGCAGUCACCUUUUACUGGGGUCUGCGAAAUCACUAUAUUUACAACUGGAUCUCAAAUCAAGUAAGGAUACCCGCUGAACUUAA
RNAcentral lists this unclassified non-coding RNA (329 nucleotides) under uncultured fungus. Its description in RNAcentral is "partial contains internal transcribed spacer 2 and large subunit ribosomal RNA". Lineage: Eukaryota; Fungi. The record is from RNAcentral.